Talpa occidentalis (Iberian mole) is the source of this 558-nucleotide long non-coding RNA. RefSeq lists it as uncharacterized. NCBI's taxonomy places the organism in Eukaryota, Metazoa, Chordata, Mammalia, Eulipotyphla, Talpidae. The record is from RefSeq and is a predicted model, not a curated record. The transcript is spliced from 3 exons.
UCCAACUGGUGCCAGCUAAGCUUACUUGAACAGGCCAAGAUCUUAGUCUAGUUUCCAACAGCCUGGGGCCUGUGCCCUGAGCCCAAGCCAGCCUGUGAGGAGAAUUUUGAUGCUUGUCAGAGAGGCCUUUGCUCACUCAUUUCUAAACUUGAAUUUGCUUUUCCUUGUAGUUGUAUCAAACAAAGUUUAUAAAAAUUCUCUUGCGUGAAAUCAGCAGAAGAGGAGGCUUCUUAAGUCUGGGAUAGCUUAGAUGAGGAGUCAGUUUCCAUGUUGGAAAAGGUUGUGAUGGGAGACACCUGGUGCUUGGUGCAUGGCAUGGAGAGUCCUCUGGGAAGUCAGAAAAUUCCACAUGAGUGACAAGAGUGAAGCACAGGUGCCUGGGUUUUGCGUGAGUUACCCUUCAGAGAACAGAUGCCCCGCUUGUAAACAUCUUGCACAUCGAAACUGCUGGCAAAACUAAACUGCUGGCAAAAAACGUUGUUUUUUUGCUCUGCGCUUUUUGUUACAAGCAUGUAGCAAAUCAUCUAUAUUUAGCAUUAAUGAGUGUUUGUGAGUGGU